CCUACGGGGGGCUGCAGUGGGGAAUAUUGCACAAUGGGCGCAAGCCUGAUGCAGCCAUGCCGCGUGUGUGAAGAAGGCCUUCGGGUUGUAAAGCACUUUCAGCGGGGAGGAAGGCGGUGAGGUUAAUAACCUCAUCGAUUGACGUUACCCGCAGAAGAAGCACCGGCUAACUCCGUGCCAGCAGCCGCGGUAAUACGGAGGGUGCAAGCGUUAAUCGGAAUUACUGGGCGUAAAGCGCACGCAGGCGGUCUGUCAAGUCGGAUGUGAAAUCCCCGGGCUCAACCUGGGAACUGCAUUCGAAACUGGCAGGCUAGAGUCGUGUAGAGGGGGGUAGAAUUCCAGGUGUAGGGGUGAAAUGCGUAGAGAUCUGGAGGAAUACCGGUGGCGAAGGCGGCCCCCUGGACAAAGACUGACGCUCAGGUGCGAAAGCGUGGGGAGCAAACAGGAUUAGAUACCCUAGUAGUC
Molecule: ribosomal RNA, 465 nt
Filed under: uncultured Klebsiella sp.
Lineage: Bacteria; Pseudomonadati; Pseudomonadota; Gammaproteobacteria; Enterobacterales; Enterobacteriaceae
Description: bacterial SSU rRNA
Rfam family: Bacterial small subunit ribosomal RNA
Source: RNAcentral